RNAcentral lists this transfer RNA (71 nucleotides) under Abyssicoccus albus. It matches the Rfam family "tRNA". From Rfam's summary of the family: Transfer RNA (tRNA) molecules are approximately 80 nucleotides in length. Their secondary structure includes four short double-helical elements and three loops (D, anti-codon, and T loops). The record is from Rfam by way of RNAcentral. Lineage: Bacteria; Bacillati; Bacillota; Bacilli; Caryophanales; Abyssicoccaceae.
GGUGCUAUAACUAAGUGGGAAGGCAAAGGUCUGCUAAACUUUAAUCACCGAUUCACAUCCGGUUACCCCUU